Long non-coding RNA from Nilaparvata lugens (brown planthopper), 337 nucleotides. RefSeq lists it as uncharacterized. The record is from RefSeq and is a predicted model, not a curated record. Lineage: Eukaryota; Metazoa; Arthropoda; Insecta; Hemiptera; Delphacidae. The transcript has 3 exons.
AGGCACGAUUGAGCUGUCCUCCUCCUCUUCCGGCACACGUUUCUGUUGAAAAAUAUUUCAUUAGACUCUUAUUUGUUUCAGGUUUUUCAUCAUCAAAUCAUACGAGAGAGAGAGAGAGAGAGAGAACUUGCUCAACAGAUUCACUACUCAAAACUGAAAGCUUGUACGAGUGAGAGAGAGCAUACAAGGGGGCGUGUGCAAUUGGAGCGUGCUGUACUCAACUCCCCAGAGGUUUACCAGCAGCACAACGCUGACAUUUGAUUGUAACAUUUUCUCACCUCACAACUCGGUUUCCGGUCUCAUAAGCAGUUGUGCUCUUGUGAGGGAAACAUACCUG